RNAcentral lists this long non-coding RNA (1115 nucleotides) under Homo sapiens (human). Its description in RNAcentral is "non-protein coding lnc-DUSP18-2:1". Lineage: Eukaryota; Metazoa; Chordata; Mammalia; Primates; Hominidae. The record is from RNAcentral.
GUAGCUGGGAUUAUAGGCAUGCGUCACCACGCCUAGCUAAUUUUUUUUUUUUGUAUAUAGUAAAGACGGGGUGGGUUUCACCAUGUUACUCGGGAGGCUGAGGCAGGGGAAUAGCUCGAACCUGGGAGGCAGAGAUUGCAGUGAGCUGAGAUCACGCCCACGCACACACACCAGAAACUUGUUGACAUUUUGUCAUGCCAGAAAGUGAAAAGGCUAUUCAAGACCACUGUUGUGACAAAAGCACUCGGGCCAACUUAAAGGGGCUCACAGUGGCCAAAGGUGGAAGAAUAUGAGCAAAAAGAAUAAUGAUUGCAACGGGAUGAAACAUCAACUAAAUAAAAAUCCAUAAAUUAAAUGCAUACGUUCCUAAAGUUACACACACACACAAAAACCCACUAAAACAAAAACCCGCCUUAUUGGUCAUAUGUGGAGUUUACCACAGUACCAAUUCAUUAUUCUGAAAAUUGAUAAAGGGAAAGAAUUAAGUCUGUAUCCUAUCCUUGUUGUACAAACUAUCUCAUAGUAACAAAGACUUCACGAAGGAAAAAUGUGUAUAGAAGAAUUAGCUAGACCAGGUGCAGUGGCUCACACCUGUAAUCUCAACACUGGGAGGCCAAGGCAACUGGAUCCCUUGGGCCCAGGAGUUUGAAACCAGCCUGGGCAACAUAGUGAUAACCCAUCUCUAUGAAGGAAAAAAUAAAUGAAUAAUUAGCGAAUAAAUGCAGAAGGGGGCCGGGCGCAGUGGCUCAUGCCUGUAAUCCCACCACUUUGGGAGGUGAAGGCAGGUGAAUUGCUUGAGUCCAGGAGUUUUGAGACCAGCCUGAGCAACAUAGUGAAACCCCGUCUUUACAAAAAAUACAAAAAUUAGCUGGGCAUGGUGGUGUGUGCCUGUAGUCCCAGCUACUCAGGAGGCUGAAGUGGAAGGAUCACAUGAGCCUGGAAGGUGGAGGUUGCAGUGAGCCAAGAUCAUGCCAUUGCACUCCAGCCUGGGUGACAGAUCAAGGCCCUGUCUCAAAAAAUAAUAAUAAAAAUAAUAAAUGCAGAAGGAAUUAUAGAAUUAGAAAAAAAUUAUAUUUGCCAACUCCUAAUGAAAUACUGUAAUGGAUCAAAUAAUC